Molecule: non-coding RNA, 749 nt
Organism: Pelobates cultripes (western spadefoot toad)
Lineage: Eukaryota; Metazoa; Chordata; Amphibia; Anura; Pelobatidae
Source: the annotation of a GenBank genome assembly
GCACACAUGCUAUUUAUUACUGCCCCCACAGAGUAGGAUGUAUCAGAACACACAGGCCGUAUCUCCGUAUCACCGCUCCUGCAGAGUAGGAUGUAUCAGCGCACACAGGCUAUUUAUCACCGCCCCCGCAGAGUAGGAUGUAUCAGAACACACAGGCCGUAUCUCCGUAUCACCGCCCCCACAGAGUAGGAUGUAUCAGAGCACACAGGCCGUAUCUCAGUAUCACCGCCCCCGCACAGUAGGAUUUAUCAGAACACACAGACCGUAUCUCCGUAUCACCGCCCCCGCAGAGUAGGAUGUAUCAGAACACACAGGCCGUAUCUCCGUAUCACCGCCCCCGCAGAGUAGGAUGUAUCAGAACACACAGACCGUAUCUCCGUAUCACCGCUCCUGCAGAGUAGGAUGUAUCAGAGCACACAGGCUCUAUCUCCGUAUCACCGCCCCCGCAGAGUAGGAUGUAUCAGAACACACAGGCCGUAUCACCGCCCCCGCAGAGUAGGAUGUAUCAGAACACACAGGCUGUAUCUCCGUAUCACCGCCUCCGCAGAGUAGGAUGUAUCAGAGCACACAGGCUAUUUAUCACCGCCCCCGCAGAGUAGGAUGUAUCAGAGCACACAGGCUAUUUAUCACCGUCCCCGCAGAGUAGGAUGUAUCAGAGCACACAUGCUAUUUAUCACUGCCCCCACAGAGUAGGAUGUAUCAGAGCACACAGGCCGUAUCUCAGUAUCACCGCCCCCGCAGAGUAGGAU